GACGAACGCUGGCGGCGUGCUUAACACAUGCAAGUCGAACGGAAAGGCCCUGCUUUUGUGGGGUGCUCGAGUGGCGAACGGGUGAGUAACACGUGAGUAACCUGCCCUUGACUUUGGGAUAACUUCAGGAAACUGGGGCUAAUACCGGAUACGAGCUCCUGCUGCAUGGUGGGGGUUGGAAAGUUUCGGCGGUUGGGGAUGGACUCGCGGCUUAUCAGCUUGUUGGUGGGGUAGUGGCUUACCAAGGCUUUGACGGGUAGCCGGCCUGAGGGGGUGACCGGCCACACUGGGACUGAGAUACGGCCCAGACUCCUACGGGAGGCAGCAGUGGGGAAUAUUGCACAAUGGGCGGAAGCCUGAUGCAGCAACGCCGCGUGCGGGAUGACGGCCUUCGGGUUGUAAACCGCUUUCGCCUGUGACGAAGCGUGAGUGACGGUAAUGGGUAAAGAAGCACCGGCUAACUACGUG
Molecule: ribosomal RNA, 468 nt
Filed under: uncultured bacterium
Lineage: Bacteria
Description: partial 16S ribosomal RNA
Rfam family: Bacterial small subunit ribosomal RNA
Source: RNAcentral